Molecule: ribosomal RNA, 309 nt
Filed under: uncultured fungus
Lineage: Eukaryota; Fungi
Description: SSU rRNA
Rfam family: Eukaryotic small subunit ribosomal RNA
Source: RNAcentral
AAAGAUUAAGCCAUGCAUGUCUAAGUAUAAGCAAUUAUACCGCGAAACUGCGAAUGGCUCAAUAAAUCAGUUAUCGUUUAUUUGAUAGUACCUUACUACAUGGAUAACCGUGGUAAUUCUAGAGCUAAUACAUGCUUAAAACCCCAACUUCGGGAGGGGUGUAUUUAUUAGAUAAGAAACCAACGCCCUUCGGGGCUUCUUGAUGAUUCAUGAUAACUUUACGGAUCGCAUGGCCUUGCGCCGGCGACGGUUCAUUCAAAUUUCUGCCCAAUCAACUUUCGAUGGUAAGGUAUUGGCUUACCAUGGUUU